GAUGAACGCUGACAGAAUGCUUAACACAUGCAAGUCGAUGGGGAAGUGGUGCUUGCACCAUGGCUACCAUGGCGGACGGGUGAGUAACGCGUAAGGGACUUACCUGCAGGACUGGGUUAACAGGGGGAAACGCCUGACAAGACCGGAUAAUGUCAUGGAGCUGCAUGGCUUUAUGAUGAAAGGAGACGCCUGCGGAGAGCCUUGCGUCCUAUUAGAUAGUUGGUGAGGUAAUGGCUCACCAGGGCGAAGAUAGGAAGCCGGCCUGAGCGGGUGGACGGCCACAAGUGGACUGAGAGACGGCAGUUACGAAUACGGGAGGAAGCGGGGGAGAAUAUUGGACAAAGGGGGCGUCCCUGAUCCAGCAAUUCUGUGUGUACGAAGAAGGUUUUCGGAUUGAAAAGUGGUUUCAGAAGGGAAGGAGUAAGUGACGGUACCUGCAGAAGAAGCGACGGCUAACUACGUG
RNAcentral lists this ribosomal RNA (463 nucleotides) under uncultured bacterium. Its description in RNAcentral is "partial 16S ribosomal RNA". It matches the Rfam family "Bacterial small subunit ribosomal RNA", at positions 28 to 507 of the family's 1533-position model. The record is from RNAcentral.